This 459-nucleotide ribosomal RNA is filed under the name uncultured bacterium. Its description in RNAcentral is "partial 16S ribosomal RNA". It matches the Rfam family "Bacterial small subunit ribosomal RNA", at positions 338 to 795 of the family's 1533-position model. The record is from RNAcentral.
CCUACGGGAGGCAGCAGUGAGGAAUAUUGGUCAAUGGCCGGGAGACUGAACCAGCCAAGCCGCGUGAAGGAUGAAGGUACAGAGCAUCGUAAACCUCUUUUGUCAGGGAACAAAGGCGGGGACGUGUCCCCGGCUGAGUGUACCUGAAGAAACAGCAUCGGCUAACUCCGUGCCAGCAGCCGCGGUAAUACGGAGGAUGCGAGCGUUAUCCGUAUUUAUGGGGGUUAAUGGGUGCGCAGGCGGACUGUUAAGUCAGCGGUAAAAGCACGGGGCUCAACCCCGGCCCGCCGUUGAAACUGGCAGUCUCGAGUUGGAGAGAAGUAUGCGGAAUGCGCGGUGUAGCGGUGAAAUGCAUAGAGAUCGCGCAGAACUCCGAUUGCGAAGGCAGCAUGCCGGCUCCACACUGACGCUGAGGCACGAAAGCGUGGGUAUCGAACAGGAUUAGAUACCCGUGUAGUC